AUUUAGGUAGUUUAAUUAUAGAAUAAUAAUUUGUGGUAUUAUAGGUGCUUUUAAGUCUUAAAUU
Molecule: transfer RNA, 64 nt
Filed under: Macrocheraia grandis grandis
Lineage: Eukaryota; Metazoa; Arthropoda; Insecta; Hemiptera; Largidae
Also listed under: 1 other name
Description: tRNA-His
Source: RNAcentral